GUUGAACGCUGGCGGCAUGCCUUACACAUGCAAGUCGAACGGCAGCGCGGACUUCGGCCUGGCGGCGAGUGGCGAACGGGUGAGUAAUACAUCGGAACGUACCCUGUUGUGGGGGAUAACUAGUCGAAAGAUUAGCUAAUACCGCAUACGACCUGAGGGUGAAAGUGGGGGACCGGAAACGGCCUCAUGCAGCAGGAGCGGCCGAUGUCUGAUUAGCUAGUUGGUGGGGUAAAGGCCCACCAAGGCGACGAUCAGUAGCUGGUCUGAGAGGACGAUCAGCCACACUGGGACUGAGACACGGCCCAGACUCCUACGGGAGGCAGCAGUGGGGAAUUUUGGACAAUGGGGGCAACCCUGAUCCAGCAAUGCCGCGUGUGUGAAGAAGGCCUUCGGGUUGUAAAGCACUUUUGUCCGGAAAGAAAUCGCGCUGGUUAAUACCUGGCGUGGAUGACGGUACCGGAAGAAUAAGCACCGGCUAACUACGUG
This 486-nucleotide ribosomal RNA is filed under the name uncultured bacterium. RNAcentral's name for it is "partial 16S ribosomal RNA". It matches the Rfam family "Bacterial small subunit ribosomal RNA", at positions 28 to 507 of the family's 1533-position model. The record is from RNAcentral.